UAUGGGGGGGUAGGGAAGAGACAGGGUAUAUGGGGGGGUUAGGGAAGAUACAGGGUAUAUGGGGGGCCUCUGGAAGAGACAGUAGUGUGUGAGGGGGCAGUAUGGGACAGGUAGCAGUAUAGAUAUGGGGUGUAUGGAAGAAACAGUGCUUAUGGGGGGGGGGGGGGGGGUGACAGUAGCCUACAUGGGAGAGACAGCAGUGUAAAGACAGACAGCAUCAAAAUGGGAGAGACUGUGGGGGCACAGGAGCAAUGUAUGAGAUGUGCGGGUAGGUUACAUGGGUACAGGGCUCGGUGCGGGUAGGUUACAUGGGUACAGGGCACGGUGCGGGUAGGUUACAUGGGUACAGGGCACGGUGCGGGUAGGUUACAUGGGUACAGGGCACGGUGCGGGUAGGUUACAUGGGUACAGGGCACGGUGCGGGUAGGUUACAUGGGUACAGGGCACGGUGCGGGUAGGUUACAUGGGUACAGGGCACGGUGUGGGUAGGUUACAUGGGUACAGGGCACGGUGUGGGUAGGUUACAUGGGUACAGGGCACGGUGUGGGUAGGUUACAUGGGUACAGGGCACGGUGUGGGUAGGUUACAUGGGUACAGGGCACGGUGCGGGUAGGUUACAUGGGUACAGGGCACGGUGCGGGUAGGUUACAUGGGUACAGGGCACGGUGCGGGUAGGUUACAUGGGUACAGGGCACGGUGCGGGUAGGUUACAUGGGUACAGGGCACGGUGCGGGUAGGUUACAUGGGUACAGGGCACGGUGUGGGUAGGUUACAUGGCUACAGGGCACGGUGCGGGUAGGUUACAUGGGUACAGGGCACGGUGUGGGUAGGUUACAUGGGUACAGGGCACGGUGCGGGUAGGUUACAUGGGUACAGGGCACGGUGCGGGUAGGUUACAUGGGUACAGGGCACGGUGCGGCAUUACUGCAGGGUGGGGGUAUAUCUGGCAUUACUGCAGGGUGGGGGUAUAUCUGGCAUUACUGCAGGUUGGGGCAUUACUGCAGGGUGGGGGUAUAACUGGCAUUACUGCAGGGUGGGGCGUUACUGAUACACUGGGCUCCGGCUGUAUAUGUAGGAAUUGCCCCUUGUGGUGCCAGUGUGGGGUGCCUGCGUAUGUGUAUGGGGGGCACAUUGUGCUGUUGUUAAUGGGAGGUGGGUGUUAUGGGGCAGUGAGAGUGCCCUUUCCCUGGGGGGGUGUAGAUGGGGGUAACUUGGCAUAAUGUAGAUUUGUUCCCUGCCCCGUUCCUGCCCCAUUCCUGCCCCAUUUUUGCCCCAUUCUCAUAGCUGGACACUGGGCCCUGGGAUUCCUGCAAUGCUCAUUGGAGCCGGGAGUGACUCCUACUGGGUGUCUGGUCCCAAGAGCUUGCACACAGUUGCUGUGUUACCUAGGAGAAGGCCAGUAGUUUGUGGCCAUGUUGUGGGCAGACACCCUCCUCUCCAGAGGCCAAUUAUAUUACACUCCAUUCUGUUUUCCUGGGGGAGGGGUAAGAAUUGAUGCCCCGGGGCAGUUGCUUGUUGGGAAUCUCAGUGCAGAAAUACCAGUUCUCCCAUUGCUGCACAUUCCCAAACAUGAUGGGACCUUAUUGCCCGUGCAGCCUCCCAUGGAACCCCAAUUCCUUUAUAGGAGUCUCCCUUUAUCUGAGACAGGAAGUGAGAUGUGCAAAGGAAACUGCAUCCCCCCUGUGUGCAUAUAGCGGCUAUGAUGCAUAUGAUCCAAACUUACUUGGGGAGAUCUACCCAGCAGUGUGAGGGGGAUGUGCUCUUGGUGCAUGAAAGGGUUAAUCCCUCCGUGCCCAGCUCCCUAUGGGGGUGCCCUGCCCAGACAGUUAGGGUUCAGCCGGCGGCACUUGGUGGAGUUGUCAGUAGGACUGCGGGGAGUCAGGGGCUGCAUUAUGGGCAGGGCAUACAGCUGGCGCACCCCGGCACUUGGCAGGCACUGCUGGCUUUGCCCCAAGCUGUGAGGAUGCGGCAUGGCAGCCAGCUUCCUUGUGUUCAAUGUGGCAGUGCCAGGGUCUGCUUCACCCAGCAGCGCCGGCCUCCCUCCCUUCAUUACUGCAGCACUGACUGCUGCCCUGGCACACUUGCUGUGCCCUCUGCCCUGGCACUGCCAGCCGCCACUUGCUGGUCUUGUAGAAGGAAGAUGGUGGCAGAUAGAUUUAAGGGCAGUUGUAUAUGAUAUGGGUCAGGGCAGAGUGGAAAGGGUGGGGGGGGGGGCAGAAGGAAUUAGCCCCCUUGCUGGUAGUGUGUGCCUAUUAGUCAGACCCCCUGGUUGGCACACAUUGCCAGUGUUGGCACCGCUUCAGCACUUGUAUCCAGCCUGCCAGGGGUUAAUGCCUGAGAAUGUGACCCCCCCCCCCAGACACUGUAUAUCUGUCACUCUGCUGGUGAGAGGGUUAUUUAUAGACUGGGGGGGGGGGGGUGCUGGGAAUCUUCUGUGUAUUCCCUGCAGGAGCAUCUUGGCGCAGUCCCUUGCCAUCUACUCUGGCGCUGGCAGCUUGGUGCCCGGGAAGCUAAUUGGCCGCUGUGUUUAGAGGGCAGUAGGGGGGAGGAUUUGUACCCCCCUAGCCGGGUUCUGUUUCCUUGGACUGGGGCAGAAGGGAGGUGGGGGGGGCAGAUCCAGUUACUGAGCCUGAGAGGUACCAUUGUUCCUGGGACUGGCGUAAGCCCAGGCUGGCACGUCAAGGUUACUACUGUCCCAGCAUUCCUGGGGGGGGGAGGGAGGGGGCGUAACCUCUUCAUUGCCGUCACAUUUGUACUCCUGCAUGUUCUCUAUGCAGUUGGUCGGUAUGAAUGCUGGGUGUCGGCUGAUAAGUGGCAUUAGAUAAUCCCUUGCCUGCUGUGGGGAUAUUCAUGCCCAUAAAGGGACUCCGGACCGUGGGAGGGCAAUUACUCACUGGACUUUCACCCCCCCCCGGGGUAUUUGAUGUAAUAAUCGGGGGUUAAACCCUGCCAUAGAGAACAUUGUGCAAUGUAGGUGUGAUCCUUCCGCCUGAACACCCAGUAUAAAGUCCCUGGCAUCUGCCUGCCCCGGGGCCAUGUUCUGCCAUGGCACAUCCCUGUGUGCCUAUUGGCUGGCUGGGACUCCCUGUGCCCUGGCACUCCUCCCUUGGCUUGUAGCUGCCCCUACUGGGUGCCAGUCCUGCUGCCACCUCCUUGGGAAAGAGGCUUGAUGGAACUUGCCACCCUGGCAGCACCUUGCCCCAUGAUGCCCUAGACGUGAUGUCACUGAUCCGUCUGUCCUUGGGCAAGGUCGUUGGCACUGGGGCCUGUGCCUUCAUUGGGAGGGUUACUGGGAAUACUGGUGCUGCAUCCUGUGCCCCUGGUAACUGGCGCCUUAUUAAACUCCCAGGGGCUUCUGGGAAAAUGGGCACUACGUGCAUGGCCUUGUUCUUCCCGGUGUUCCAAUCUGGAGGGUUGCUGGGAGUUGUGCAGCCUCAGCAGUUUUUCUAGGUUACACACAAGAUCUAAUUGGAUACAGCCCCCCCCCCCCCCCCCCUUAGCUUGGAGAUGUAAUGAGAGCAGCGCUGAGCCCAUCAAUAACUAACUGGGGGGGGUCACUGCGGCUACUGUACCGUCCCAGGGGGCCAGCUCGGCUCUGUAAGUGCUGCCGUGAAUGUAGGCCGGGGCUGGCCCAUUAAUCUUAGGGAAGCCCCAUACCUGGGGGGUGGGCAUUCUCCUCCCUAGAGCUGGGGCAUCAGUAGGGGUCAGAUUAUGAUCCCCAGUGCAGGGGUUUAUAGAGCCGGCAGUUAAUGAUUAGGCUACUGGGUAUCUUUAUGGCUUGCUGUUGCUAGGGCUGUUGUGUUGGGCUACGGCUGUCAGUGGCCCUAUAUCCCAUGGGAGGGGGGAGGGUUUGUCUCUUUAUUCAGCUGUAGGUCCCCCCACCCCCGGGUGCCUCGGCAUGACAGUGUGGGAAGGGUGGGUGGCCCUUAGGGGGCUGUUCUAGAGCACCAGUAUUCACUGGGAUCAUGUUCCAGCUCCUUCCCAUAAUGCUGUGCCGCUUGUUUGAGCACCUGUUGUGUGGGAAGGGGCCCGUAUUGCACCCCCCCCCGACUAUCUGUGCAGAUGGUACUUACUGUGUAUUCUGCACACUCCCCAAUAUAAGUAUAAGUAGUAUUGCAUGCUGGGAUACGGAAGCUUUGCUCCUGGGGGCCCCCCUGUUCUCUCAUUGCAUGCUGGGAUACGGAAGCUUUGCUUCUGGGGGCCCCCCUGUUCUCUCAUUGCAUGCUGGGAUACGGAAGCUUUGCUUCUGGGGGCCCCCCUGUUCUCUCAUUGCAUGCUGGGAUACGGAAGCUUUGCUUCUGGCGGUCCCCCUGUUCUCUCAUUGCAUGCUGGGAUACGGAAGCUUUGCUUCUGGGGGCCCCCCUGUUCUCUCAUUGCAUGCUGGGAUACGGAAGCUUUGCUUCUGGUGGUCCCCCUGUUCUCUCAUUGCAUGCUCGGAUACGGAAGCUUUGCUCCUGGGGGCCCCCCUGUUCUCUCAUUGCAUGCUGGGAUACGGAAGCUUUGCUUCUGGCGGUCCCCCUGUUCUCUCAUUGCAUGCUGGGAUACGGAAGCUUUGCUUCUGGGGGCCCCCCUGUUCUCUCAUUGCAUGCUGGGAUACGGAAGCUUUGCUCCUGGGGGCCCCCCUGUUCUCUCAUUGCAUGCUGGGAUACGGAAGCUUUGCUUCUGGGGUCCCCCCUGUUCUCUCAUUGCAUGCUGGGAUACGGAGGCUUUGCCUCUGGAGUCCCCCCUAUAUCUGACAGGGGGGGUGCAGCAUAUUAGGGGUGGGGGGGGGUGCCGCUCUGCCUUACGGAAAGUGCCUCCCAGACCCACUGACUGCCGCAUUGUGCAACUGCCUGUGGGAGGGGCUGGGCCCUCGCUGACUCAUUAACCCCUUCCUGUCCUGCCGCUGCUGUCUCACUGUGACAUUUAUAGACACCUCAGCUCCCCCCCCCCCCCCCAUGGCUCAGGUUUCAGUGUGGGAAACCCUAGUCUCUUUAUCCUAGGGAAGGAGAGAGGCCAGGCGAGAAGGGGUUAAUGUGCCAUGCAGUUUAUAGCAGGGAGUAUUUAUAAUGUUCUGGGGCCCUGUAUAUCAGAUAAUACCCCCCCAUCCCGGCUGCCCCUUCCUCCCAUAAUCCCCUGUGUUACCCUGCACUUUUCCCAGCUCAGGUUUCUGUGGAUCUGCUUUGUUUUUAUCUAUGGCUCAUUGUUCCCACAGCACCUGACACCACACGCACCCUCCUUGUGCCGGAGGAGGAGGGCAGCGGAAUUAACCCUCGCUGUACCCCCUGGCCGGGUGCAACUUUCCCUGCCUGUCUCUCUUUAUUCACUAGGCCCUAGAACCUGGGAUUCUGGGUACAGAAGGGUUGCCAUGGAAACCACCCGACUUCUUGUGCAUGCCCCCCAGUUAGUAAUGCCCUGUAUCCCAGGCGGGUGGCAGUUGGGGGGGCCCCAGUCUCUGUGCGGCCCCUGGCACCGACCCUUCCCAUAUCAGUUGCCAGUGUGGCAUCUCUGCCGCUCUCUGUCUCGUCACCUUGUUGUACUGGGAGGUGACACAUACUUCUGCCUUCCUGUUUGUUUUGGCAACGGCUGGCAGCCAUAUUAUCCCUCUGCUCUGGCACAGCCGGCGUUCCCCGCUCACACUCCGUGUGGGUACCUUACGCAAUCUGUGGCCAUUUUGUACAGCCGCUGUAUGGGAAUAAGUUCUGUGCUCGCUGUUAGGGUGCCCCCACCCCUGUGUAGGAGCUGCCAGGCAGGAUUAUAAGAGGGUGGGGCUAAAGCUACUCCAUUAAACAGAUUUGCCCCUGUAUAGGUACACAGGGAGGCGUUACACAUGGGCAGCUUCGCCCACUGCCGGUGAAUGGGGUCAUUGAAGGAACAUAAUGCCGAGUUGUACUGGGUUACACAGUGCAUA
This is a long non-coding RNA of Xenopus tropicalis (tropical clawed frog), 5890 nucleotides long. RefSeq lists it as uncharacterized. Lineage: Eukaryota; Metazoa; Chordata; Amphibia; Anura; Pipidae. The record is from RefSeq and is a predicted model, not a curated record. The transcript is spliced from 2 exons.